GAUCCUGGCUCAGGAUGAACGCUAGCUACAGGCUUAACACAUGCAAGUCGAGGGGCAGCAUGGUCUUAGCUUGCUAAGGCUGAUGGCGACCGGCGCACGGGUGAGUAACACGUAUCCAACCUGCCGCCUACUCUUGGCCAGCCUUCUGAAAGGAAGAUUAAUCCAGGAUGGGAUCAUGAGUUCACAUGUCCGCAUGAUUAAAGUAUUUCCGGUUACGACGAUGGGUAGUG
RNAcentral lists this ribosomal RNA (230 nucleotides) under uncultured bacterium. RNAcentral describes it as "partial 16S ribosomal RNA". It matches the Rfam family "Bacterial small subunit ribosomal RNA", at positions 15 to 227 of the family's 1533-position model. The record is from RNAcentral.